This 453-nucleotide ribosomal RNA is filed under the name Pseudomonas sp. LPA_35. RNAcentral's name for it is "bacterial SSU rRNA". It matches the Rfam family "Bacterial small subunit ribosomal RNA", at positions 26 to 475 of the family's 1533-position model. The record is from RNAcentral. Lineage: Bacteria; Pseudomonadati; Pseudomonadota; Gammaproteobacteria; Pseudomonadales; Pseudomonadaceae.
AGAUUGAACGCUGGCGGCAGGCCUAACACAUGCAAGUCGAGCGGAUGAGUGGAGCUUGCUCCAUGAUUCAGCGGCGGACGGGUGAGUAAUGCCUAGGAAUCUGCCUGGUAGUGGGGGAUAACGUUUCGAAAGGAACGCUAAUACCGCAUACGUCCUACGGGAGAAAGUGGGGGAUCUUCGGACCUCACGCUAUCAGAUGAGCCUAGGUCGGAUUAGCUAGUUGGUGGGGUAAUGGCCCACCAAGGCGACGAUCCGUAACUGGUCUGAGAGGAUGAUCAGUCACACUGGAACUGAGACACGGUCCAGACUCCUACGGGAGGCAGCAGUGGGGAAUAUUGGACAAUGGGCGAAAGCCUGAUCCAGCCAUGCCGCGUGUGUGAAGAAGGUCUUCGGAUUGUAAAGCACUUUAAGUUGGGAGGAAGGGCAGUAAGUUAAUACCUUGCUGUUUGACGU